CUUGGGUUUCUAAAGGCAAGCAGGGAGAGAGAAGAAGAAAGAAGGGCAGGAUAGCACCUGAUAGUAAGAGAUUGCCGCCUCGGGCGUAUAAAAUAUCAGUGUCGCCCGACAGCACGCCGCGGCGUGAAAUAAUCAGUGAUGAGGGGGGACGACAGACGUCGUAUUACUCCGGGAUAUUUAUCAUGUGGGGUGGUGAUAAAGAGGAGGUCGGCGACGAACAGCGACGAGAGCAAGUGCUGGGAGUUGAGAAGAUCGGGUGGCCCUACCCCCCGGGACUGCGCAUGGAAACAUGCGGGUCUGGAGUGCAGGAGAGGCAGGCGGAAUUCUCUGGUGUAGCGGUGAAAUAGCGUAGAUAUCAGGAGGAACACACGGUGGCGAAGGCGGCACUGCUGGACAUCGUAACUGACAGUUGAGGCUCGAAAGCGUGGGGAGCACAACAGGAUAUAGAUACCCUGGUAGUCUCACGCCGUAAACGAUGAUCAUAUAGGUGUGGGCGGGUACGAACCUCGCUCGGUGCCGGUAGCAAACGCAUUAAGUGAUCCACCUGGGGAGUACGUUCGCAAGAAUGAAACUCCAAGGAAUUGACGGGGACCCGCACAAGGCGGUGGAGCAUGUGGUUUAAUUCGAAGCAACGCGAAGAACUUUACCAAGUCUUGACAUCCCGGUGACGUGGGAGUAACGUUCCAUUCCCUUCGGGGCAGCGGAGACAGGUGGUGCAUGGUUGUCGUCAGCUCGUGUCGUGGAGAUGUUGGGUUAAGUCCCGCAACGAGCGCAACCCUUAUCCCCAGUAGCCAGCGGAUAGAGCCGGGCACUCUGAGGAGACUGCCAGGGACAACCUGGAGGAAGGCGGGGAUGACGUCAAAUCAUCAUGCCCCUUAUGAUUUGGGCUACACACGUGCUACAAUGGCGUAAACAGAGGGAAGCGAAGGCGCGAGCCGGAGCGGAACCCAGAAAUAACGUCCCAGUUCGGAUUGCAGGCUGCAACCCGCCUGCAUGAAGCUGGAAUCGCUAGUAAUCGCGGAUCAGAAUGCCGCGGUGAAUACGUUCCCGGGUCUUGUACACACCGCCCGUCACACCAUGGGAGUCAGUAACGCCCGAAGUCAGUGACCGAACCCGAGAGGGACAGAGCUGCCGAAGGCGGGACGGAUGACUGGGGUGAAGUCGUAACAAGGUAG
Molecule: ribosomal RNA, 1175 nt
Filed under: uncultured bacterium
Lineage: Bacteria
Description: bacterial SSU rRNA
Rfam family: Bacterial small subunit ribosomal RNA (bases 222-1175)
Source: RNAcentral